GGAGUCCAACAUCUUCUCCUGCCUGGUGAGAAGCACACAGCCCAAGGCAGACUGGGAAUCUCAGCUCCACAUACCCAGAGACUAUUUCCCUGCUCCCUCUGGAUGGAUGGUGGCUCUCUUCCUAACAGCAGCUGUUACUGUAGCAGCAUCAGUACUUCUGGUGAUCCAGUGGAGAAGAAUGGACAGGCAGGAGAAACUCAAUGGUGAGUAAAUCAGUCAGACUCUCUGUGCUGUGUCCUGUAGUGAUUUCAGCAGGAGC
RNAcentral lists this long non-coding RNA (259 nucleotides) under Lepisosteus oculatus (spotted gar). Its description in RNAcentral is "lncRNA (ENSLOCG00000022560.1)". The record is from RNAcentral. Lineage: Eukaryota; Metazoa; Chordata; Actinopteri; Semionotiformes; Lepisosteidae.